UACGAAGGGGGCUAGCGUUGCUCGGAAUCACUGGGCGUAAAGGGUGCGUAGGCGGGUCUUUAAGUCAGGGGUGAAAUCCUGGAGCUCAACUCCAGAACUGCCCUUGAUACUGAGGAUCUUGAGUUCGGGAGAGGUGAGUGGAACUGCGAGUGUAGAGGUGAAAUUCGUAGAUAUUCGCAAGAACACCAGUGGCGAAGGCGGCUCUCUGGACCGAUACUGACGCUGAGGCGCGAAAGCGUGGGGAGCAAACAGG
RNAcentral lists this ribosomal RNA (253 nucleotides) under uncultured bacterium. Its description in RNAcentral is "partial 16S ribosomal RNA". It matches the Rfam family "Bacterial small subunit ribosomal RNA", at positions 524 to 776 of the family's 1533-position model. The record is from RNAcentral.